GACGAACGCUGGCGGCGUGCUUAACACAUGCAAGUCGAACGUGAUUUUUGUGGAAAUUCUUUCGGGAAUGGACAUGAAAUGAAAGUGGCGAACGGGUGAGUAACACGUGAGCAACCUACCUUACACAGGGGGAUAGCCGUUGGAAACGACGAUUAAUACCGCAUGAGACCACAGAAUCGCAUGAUAUAGGGGUCAAAGAUUUAUCGGUGUAAGAAGGGCUCGCGUCUGAUUAGCUAGUUGGAAGGGUAAAGGCCUACCAAGGCGACGAUCAGUAGCCGGUAUGAGAGGAGGAACGGACACAGUGGAAAUGGGACACGGUCCAAACUCGUAGGGGAGGCAGCAGUGGGGAAUAUUGAAAAAUGGGGGGAACCCUGAUGCAGCGACGCCGGGUGAGAGAAGAAGGUUUUCGAAUAGUAAAGCUCUGUCCUAUGAGAAGAUAAUGACGGUAUCAUAGGAGGAAGCCCCGGCUAAAUACGUG
This 478-nucleotide ribosomal RNA is filed under the name uncultured bacterium. RNAcentral's name for it is "partial 16S ribosomal RNA". It matches the Rfam family "Bacterial small subunit ribosomal RNA", at positions 28 to 507 of the family's 1533-position model. The record is from RNAcentral.